UCGACUUUUGAUUCUAUACUGCAAUUAGUAACACUUUUGAAAAAUGAUUCCGAAAAAAUUAAUCAAUGUCUGGAUUAUAGCAAUUUGCAAAGACUAACAGAAAACGAAAUUAAAUUUAUAGAAGGAUAUUGUCAGGCAAUGAAACCUUUGGCACAAGCCUUAGAUAUACUACAAAGUGAGUCAGGGAUAUAUAUGGGAUACUUAUUACCAGUCUUAAAAACUUUACAAGAAAAAUUAGAAAAACUCAACAAAAGUGGAUUUACUAAUUGUCAGUCACUAAUUACAGCUAUUCAACAAGGUUUAGAUAAAAGAUUUUCCACAUUACUUGAAAAAAAGAGCUAAUCAUCGCAAGUUGUUUGCACCCAAAAUUCAAGUUGAACUGGAUAAAUGGAGAAGAAAGGAAACUUGCUAAAAAUUAUUUAGAAGACUUAUUAGGAAUCCGUUCUAAUGAAAGUUCCCCCAAAUCCUGAUGAAAACCUCGACGAUCACGAUGACUUUUUUGCUUUUAACCAGCAAACAAAAGACGU
This is a non-coding RNA of Linepithema humile (Argentine ant), 527 nucleotides long. Lineage: Eukaryota; Metazoa; Arthropoda; Insecta; Hymenoptera; Formicidae. The record is from RefSeq and is a predicted model, not a curated record.